This is a long non-coding RNA of Astatotilapia calliptera (eastern happy), 2540 nucleotides long. The record is from Ensembl. Lineage: Eukaryota; Metazoa; Chordata; Actinopteri; Cichliformes; Cichlidae.
UUUAUGAAUAAAGAGAGAGGGAGGACAAUAACAUUUGAAGGCAGUAAAAUAAAUUAAUUCAGAACAAGUGAUGAAGAGUAAACCACUGAUGAGGAAGUGAGCAGGAAGUUGAAGCUGUGUUCAUGUCUGAGACUGUCUCAUUUGUGAAUGUGAGAGCAGAGAGUAGAGACUGACAGACAGAGAAGUACGAUGGCUGCAGUCAUGUGGAUUCAAAUGUCUUCAUUCCUGCUGCUGAUGCUUCAGAUUACAGCAGAAACAACAGGACAGACUUUGUCCUCCUUCAGAGCUGCCAGAGCUGGACAUGACAUCACUUUGUCUUGUGAAAAUGUGAUAGAUGGUCAACAUGACUGCAGCUAUACUACCUGGGAAUUCACUGAUUCAAGACAGACACCAGCAGUAGAGCUGGUUGUUCAUGGACAGAUUAAAGAAAAUGCUAAAGCUGAAUACACCAGACUGAGUGUUACAGCGAACUGUUCUCUGCUUAUAAAGAAGGUACAAGCUGAGGAUGUUGGUCGUUACACCUGCACACAGUACAAAACAAGAGGAGGACAAAAAGAAUGUUCAGACUAUAUGAUUAAUCUGUCUGUUAUUAACAUGACUGAACAUGAGAACAACAAUAAAGUCAUUGUGAACUGCUCUGUGCUGACACAUGAACACUAUAGACACACAGUGGAGUGGCUGCAUGAGGGUAAAAAGAAAAUAUCAGACGUGGAGAUCAAACCAGGUUUCUGCUCUGUGACUGUGACAUUUAAAAGAUCUCACCGUGAUCAGAAGUCACAGUUUUAUAAUUCAUUGAAGUGCAAAGUGACAGAUAAACACACUAAAGAAGAACAACUGUUUCUCUUCAAACUCAAGUCCUCAGGUGAAAACACAAAAUCAACGACUGCAAAAUUUACCUCAACAACAAGAACAACAACAGCAAUGAGAUCAACAACAACAAUGAGAUCAACAACAACAAUGAGAUCAACAACAACAAUGAGAUCAACAACAACAAUGAGAUCAACAACAACAAUGAGAACAACAACAACAACAACAACAAUGAGAUCAACAACAACAAUGAGAACAACAACAACAACAAUGAGAACAACAAAAUCUUCUCUAGAAUCAAAAAAAUCCUCACAAGGUUUGUUAUUAUGGCUCAUUAUCCUUCCCGUUGGUUUAUCAGCACUCUUAAUAAUUGUUGUGGUCAUAAGAUGGAAGAAACAUAAAGGAAAAGAAGGGCAGCUGGCCGGCAACACUGUGAGUUCAAAUAGUUCCAUUGUUUCAUAUGAGAUUGAGCUAAUAAACCUUUAGAGGUGACUUCAUGCCUCUAAAUGACUAAAUAAAAUACAGGAUUUACCAUCAGAAACAGAACAGCUGACAAAGCUGCAAGUGAGCUGAAUCAGCUCCUCACUGACAAUGUUUAACUAUUUAAGUAACAUUUAGAUCUUUACACAGUUACUCUUCUGUUUGUGAGCAGGGACUGAGCUUAAACGCUGCAGAGACUCAGUCUGGACCAGGAACCAAUCAAACCAGGGCUGGAGCUGAUGAUGGUGUUUCCUACGUCUCCAUCAGCUUGCCCAAGAGGACCAGGAGUAAAACCCGGGUGAGAUUUUUAAUAUUUGUGGGGAUGAUGUUAGCAGUAAGACCAUGAUUUUCAAAGAGCCUUAUGUCUUGUCUUGCUCUGUAAUGUUUUUUUUUUUUUUGUUCUGUAAUGUUUUCCUAUAGUCCCGUGGUCAUGAUGAAGGUGACACUGUGACCUACAGCACAGUGAAAGCUGUUUCCUCUUCUGCUGGAGAUGAUCCCAACCACCUCUAUUCCACCAUCAAUGAUGUAAAGAAGUAGGAUGAUGCUCAUGAAAAGAGAUAUGGUAGAUGCUGUUUCACUUUUUAGAUGAGAGAGUGAAUGUGAAAAGUCAUGGGUUAUUUUUUUUUGUCUUACGUAUUGGUUGUUUUGAACUAAUAACAUAAUAUUGUUUUGGUAAAUGGACUUAUAUAACACUUUUAUAUAGCUACUCUUUCAGAGCACUCAAAGUGCUUUAUACAACAAAUUCAUUCACCCAAGCAGUUAAGUGCUCCCUAUCUAACAUUAAUACUCAUUCACACUCCGAUGGAAGCAUCGGAGAGCAACAUGGGGUUAGUAUCUUGCCCAAGAAUAUUUGGCAUGCAGACUGGAGCAGACUGGGAUCAAACCACCACCCUUCUGGUUAGUAGCUGACCUGCUCUAACACCUGAGCUACAGACACCAAACUGAAAAUCAUUUAUGUUUCAAAAACAGACAUGUUACCACACAUAUAUAUUUCUGUUUUGACCUAAACUGUUUCUGCCAGAGGGGUAUGUGUUGACGUUUUAUUCCAAGAAACCUUUUCUGUUUGCUGCUGCUCAUAAAAGUUUAGCUGAUAGCGUCCUAUCACAGUACAUGACAUCAUUACUGUCUAAGGCGCAGCUUCAAAUGCAUCCUGAACAGUGCGGACAAAAAUUAGAAAUAAGAAAAAGUACUAAUAAAUUUUUUUUUGCCACUGUAAAUAAAUGCUUUAAAUAAAGGAUCCAGAUACUUUCUUC